This 50-nucleotide transfer RNA is filed under the name Phylloscopus occipitalis (western crowned-warbler). RNAcentral's name for it is "partial tRNA-Phe". Lineage: Eukaryota; Metazoa; Chordata; Aves; Passeriformes; Phylloscopidae. The record is from RNAcentral.
GUCCCUGUAGCUUAUACAAAGCAUGACACUGAAGAUGUCAAGAUGGCUGC